AUAGACCUGUGCACAUUUAACUGUAUACAUCUAUAUACACACACACAUAUGCCUGCAUGUGCCAGCUGACAAGCCAACCCCUGCAAAUCUAUGUCCUCCCUGUGUCUGAGGUUUCUCCUUGGGGUGGUGAAAGCACUUGCUACAGCCACGUCCAGCAGCACGGCAGGAGUGCAAAUGCCAGAGAAUUGACGCCUAGAUGGCCCACGCUUUGCCAAAAGAGAUGUACACUUUUGGAAACAGAACGGUGAAUGCUAGCGGUGAGAAAGUGUUGUUGUACCCCUUUCUAAAUCCGUGAAAUGUGGUGUGUUUUUCCAUGCGUUAAGCAGUGUUGACACCUAAGGACUACGUGAAUUAACAUUUUAAUUUUCCAGUGACAUCUGAGUAUUACAAAGUAUGCCUAACAUAUGAUGUAAUUGUACCUGUAAGUCAGGUACUCUGACAAUUAAACCCCAAAAGAUUUUGAUCCAGAAGAGGAAGUAUCCUAGAUACACUGUAACAUUCCUGGUCUUUUGACAGCCAGUAACAACUUUUCUGAUUUAGAGUAAAACAGUACCAAAGCUUUCUUGGUUUUUUGAUUGUAGAAAUAAGGAUUCUUUGUUAUUGUACAAUAUCUAGCACAACAGGGCACCAAUCCAUGACUCUGGCCUAGGCACAAUAGUAACAAAAACAAUAUCUAAUAAAUAUAUAAACGUAAGACAUACUUGUGCUGUUGUACGUUCAAAUUCAGGUUCCUCAUGCAAUAAGAUCAACAGAUUACUUUUAUGUGAAAGUUGCAUUUGCUUCAGGGAAAGAUUUUAAAUUAUUUCUGUUUGGUGAU
Long non-coding RNA from Gavialis gangeticus (Gharial), 817 nucleotides. RefSeq lists it as uncharacterized. The transcript is spliced from 2 exons. Lineage: Eukaryota; Metazoa; Chordata; Crocodylia; Gavialidae. The record is from RefSeq and is a predicted model, not a curated record.